RNAcentral lists this ribosomal RNA (468 nucleotides) under uncultured bacterium. RNAcentral describes it as "partial 16S ribosomal RNA". It matches the Rfam family "Bacterial small subunit ribosomal RNA", at positions 28 to 507 of the family's 1533-position model. The record is from RNAcentral.
GACGAACGCUGGCGGCGUGCUUAACACAUGCAAGUCGAACGGAAAGGCCCUGCUUUUGUGGGGUGCUCGAGUGGCGAACGGGUGAGUAACACGUGAGUAACCUGCCCUUGACUUUGGGAUAACUUCUGGAAACUGGGGCUAAUACCGGAUAGGAGCUCCUGCUGCAUGGUGGGGGUUGGAAAGUUUCGGCGGUUGGGGAUGGGCUCGCGGCUUAUCAGCUUGUUGGUGGGGUAGUGGCUUACCAAGGCUUUGACGGGUAGCCGGCCUGAGAGGGUGACCGGCCACAUUGGGACUGAGAUACGGCCCAGACUCCUACGGGAGGCAGCAGUGGGGAAUAUUGCACAAUGGGCGGAAGCCUGAUGCAGCAACGCCGCGUGCGGGAUGACGGCCUUCGGGUUGUAAACCGCUUUCGCCUGUGACGAAGCGUGAGUGACGGUAAUGGGUAAAGAAGCACCGGCUAACUACGUG